AUUGAACGCUGGCGGCAGGCUUAACACAUGCAAGUCGAACGGUAACAGAAGAGAGCUUGCUCUCUUGCUGACGAGUGGCGGACGGGUGAGUAAUGUCUGGGAAACUGCCUGAUGGAGAGGGAUAACUACUGGAAACGGUAGCUAAUACCGCAUAAUGUCGCAAGACCAAAUGAGGGGGACCUUCGGGCCUCUUGCCAUCGGAUGUGCCCAGAUGGGAUUAGCUUGUUGGUGAGGUAACGGCUCACCAAGGCGACGAUCCCUAGCUGGUCUGAGAGGAUGACCAGCCACACUGGAACUGAGACACGGUCCAGACUCCUACGGGAGGCAGCAGUGGGGAAUAUUGCACAAUGGGCGCAAGCCUGAUGCAGCCAUGCCGCGUGUAUGAAGAAGGCCUUCGGGUUGUAAAGUACUUUCAGCGGGGAGGAAGGUGUUGAGGUUAAUAACCUCAGCAAUUGACGUUACCCGCAGAAGAAGCACCGGCUAACUCCGUGCCAGCCGCCGCAGUAAAAC
RNAcentral lists this ribosomal RNA (510 nucleotides) under uncultured bacterium. Its description in RNAcentral is "bacterial SSU rRNA". It matches the Rfam family "Bacterial small subunit ribosomal RNA", at positions 30 to 526 of the family's 1533-position model. The record is from RNAcentral.